CCUGGACCGACACUCGAUCCCUAAACAUGACCGAGCGAACCAUCUCUGCUUAUCAAAUCUAUGAUAACUCCAAACUUUAUAUGCAACAAGGUAAUACUCUAACCAAAUACUUUUGAUUAAUUUAAAUAUUUAAAUAAAUCAACUACAAAACUUUAUUCAUAGUAACCAAUAAAAUACUUCUAAGUUAUUAUCAAAAACAUCUGAAUCUUAACCCAACGACUAUGUCUAUGAAGCCUUUACUGAUAAACUGAUGCACUGCUCAAGACAUGAGAUUUCCUGACCAGUUCUCUAAGUAACAAAGAAAUAACUAAAUAAAGAUGACUCUAAGGAAUACUCCAUGAACAAAAGCGGAGCUCACCAAUAGCACUGGAAGAGAAGGAAGUCCUAACUCGUAGCCUGCUCGCCUGCAAAUCCGGUUCCUACAUUGUACCGCAGACCAAACGUAGGUUCCCAAAAGGGAACGUCAGUACCAUCCAUUGUACUCAGUGAGUCUCAACAACAGGGGGCGAAACUUUAAUAACAUAUACAUUAUGCGCAAAGGUUCUAAAUGCAUAUAAAACAUAAAGCUUAUAAGAAUAAUUCUAAAUAAUUGCAUAAUAGCAGUUUAUGAAUAUUCUAAAAGAAAUUCUUUUCUUUUUCUUUCUUAUAAAAAAAAUACUUCUCUUUAUACUUUGGGAGUUCCAACUAUCCUGACUUAAUUCUGUCUCUGUCACCGUGUGAUUGGCCUGGGUUCGAUCCCAACCUGAUCGAAUAUGCCCAAUCCACGAGGUGCCACUCGCUUCAUGGUUUUUAGCGCUCAUGUCUCAUAGCUUAGCAUGGCUAAGUAAAUUCUCAGCAACGAGACCCUCGGCUCGUGUGCUCCCUACUUUGGCACAAGUAGUUUUAGGAAGUCAACGCCUUGGUCAGGACCCUAGGCCUGGACGAUGACCCCUUCUCAGAAUAAAGGAUACUCCCAAAAAUCUUUUCUUUCUAAAACUUCUUCUUGUGACUUUUCAAGUCUAAAUCUAUUAUACAUACUCAUACUGGUAUCCUUAAAUGUAAGGCAUGGUAUAAGAAUGAAAUAAACAUUCAAAAGUAUUUAUAAAGGUUCUUGAUCCUUCAUGAAUUUUCGACAUGAAAAUGGUAUAUAAGAAUAACACAAAAAUCUGAAAUUUAUGCACAUAUAUCCAAAUAAUCAUCUAAACUUUAGCUAGAAAAUAAUUCUAAGCUAAUAGGUACUUACUACUCUAAUUAAGUAUAUAUUAACUCUUUUAUGCAAUUCAUCAAACACCUUAUGUGCGUGCUUUUGUGAGUUAAACCACUUUAGUAAAAGGUUAUAUCAACUCACCUCAAAACUUCUCGAGCCAAUACGUAGACCCCAGUAUAAUUGACACUAGUCAAACAAUCGAUUCUACAACAACUAGUGCAUUUUAAUCAAUUUUAAAAUUUCACACCUAAACAUAAAAUUUAUUGUUGAUAUGGAGAAAGAAGGGAAUUAACUAUUCAUCUCUUACCUAUUACUACUGUGGGGUAAUUGAGAAUAUGAAAUUUUAUAUACCUGAGUAAAAAAAAUCAGUGAGUUAUGAAGAACCCUAGAAUUUUCGUUGCCCUGCGUGAAUAGUUGGUGCCUCUGUUUCUUGAGCAAACACAAUGUUAAUUUUGUUUGCUUUUG
RNAcentral lists this long non-coding RNA (1651 nucleotides) under Nicotiana tabacum (common tobacco). RNAcentral describes it as "long non-coding RNA (NTAB_LNC015810)". Lineage: Eukaryota; Viridiplantae; Streptophyta; Magnoliopsida; Solanales; Solanaceae. The record is from RNAcentral.